This 233-nucleotide long non-coding RNA is filed under the name Mytilus galloprovincialis (Mediterranean mussel). Lineage: Eukaryota; Metazoa; Mollusca; Bivalvia; Mytilida; Mytilidae. The record is from RNAcentral.
GUUUGGCCGACCGGAGCAGUCAACACCAUAUCCAUCCUGCCAAUAGGAUGUUGGAAUUUCGAAUUUCUCUUUGCAUUUUCCAUUAUGAGAUGCCAUGUUGGUCUGACAGGGAUUUCCGCCACUAUAAAUGAUUCUUUCAUCUUGACAUUCAAAAUAGACCUCUCCAGGAGGCGCAAUGUAUUUAUUUCUGUAUAUUCCGUCGGAAAAUCUCAUGCAGUCAGGUGCGAAAUAAA